AUACGGAGGAUCCGAGCGUUAUCCGGAUUUAUUGGGUUUAAAGGGUGCGCAGGCGGCCAUUUAAGUCAGCGGUUAAAUCGCGGGGCUCAACCCCAUUCUGCCGUUGAUACUGGGUUGCUUGAUUGCGGUCGAGGCUGGCGGGAUUCUUUGUGUAGCGGGGAAAUGCAUAGAUAUGACGAAGAAACCCGAUUGCGUAGGCUGCCGACCAGACCGUAAAGUGCGCGCAUGCACGUAAGGGCGGGGAUCGAGCAGGAUUAGAUUCGCUGGUAGUCCGCACAGUAAACGAUGAAUACUGGUUUUCGGCGAUAUAAUGUCGGAGGCAAAGCGAAAGCGAUAAGUAUUCCACCUGGGGAGUACGCCGGCAACGGUGAAACUCAAAUGAAUUGACGGGG
RNAcentral lists this ribosomal RNA (392 nucleotides) under uncultured bacterium. Its description in RNAcentral is "partial 16S ribosomal RNA". It matches the Rfam family "Bacterial small subunit ribosomal RNA", at positions 523 to 918 of the family's 1533-position model. The record is from RNAcentral.